This 480-nucleotide ribosomal RNA is filed under the name uncultured bacterium. Its description in RNAcentral is "bacterial SSU rRNA". It matches the Rfam family "Bacterial small subunit ribosomal RNA", at positions 22 to 518 of the family's 1533-position model. The record is from RNAcentral.
GGUCAGGACGAACGCUGGCGGUGUGCCUCAUACAUGCAAGUCGAACGAUAAGGUCUCUUCGGAGAUACAUAAGUGGCGGACGGGUGAGUACAACAUAGGAAAUCUGCCCUAAACUGAGGGACAACAGAGGGAAACUUCUGCUAAUACCUCAUAUGAGCUUAGUUGAAAUACUAAUCUUGAAAGCUCCGGCGGUUUAGGAUGAGCCUGUGCCUGAUUAGCUAGUUGGUGGUGUAAUGGACUACCAAGGCGACGAUCAGUAGCUGGUUUGAGAGGAUGAUCAGCCACAAUGGGACUGAGACACGGCCCAUACUCCUACGGGAGGCAGCAGUAGGGAAUUUUGCGCAAUGGGGGGAAAAACCCCCUGGCGCAGCAACACCGCGUGAAUGUUAAGCCCUUCGGGGUGUAAAGUUCUGUCAGUAGGGAAGAACAAAUGACUGUACCUACAAAGGAAGCACCGGCUAACUCCGUGCCAGCCGCCGC